This is a non-coding RNA of Tinamus guttatus (white-throated tinamou), 329 nucleotides long. The record is from RefSeq and is a predicted model, not a curated record. NCBI's taxonomy places the organism in Eukaryota, Metazoa, Chordata, Aves, Tinamiformes, Tinamidae.
UGGCUGCCUUGGAAGGCUCUGCAAGGGUAAAGUAGCGUGGCCUGAAUGCAAUUUGUCCGUCAGGCCUCAACCCAUCACUACUGAACAGGGUUCGUGAUAAUGGCAUUCCUUGGCUUUGAAUUUCAGGAGACUAUGAAGAAACAUAUGAAGAUGUUGAGACUGUGGGUGGGAAUCCAGCUAAAGUGGAGGCAGAAAAGCAAAAGAGGUUUGGAAACAUGUUGAAGAUGGAAAAAUUUAAACUGAAGAACACCAGGUUCAAGGAAAAUUUAAGAUUGCUUUCCAGCUCGGUACCAAAUUUAGCCACCGUCUCGCAGGAGGACACGUACGAC